RNAcentral lists this unclassified non-coding RNA (253 nucleotides) under uncultured Moraxellaceae bacterium. RNAcentral's name for it is "contains 16S-23S intergenic spacer region". It matches the Rfam family "Bacterial small subunit ribosomal RNA", at positions 524 to 776 of the family's 1533-position model. The record is from RNAcentral. Lineage: Bacteria; Pseudomonadati; Pseudomonadota; Gammaproteobacteria; Moraxellales; Moraxellaceae.
UACAGAGGGUGCGAGCGUUAACCGGAUUUACUGGGCGUAAAGAGUGCGUAGGCGGCUUUUUGAGUCGGAUGUGAAAGCCCGGGGCUUAACUUGGGAAUUGCAUUCGAGACUGGGUAGCUAGAGUAUGGGAGAGGAUGGUAGAAUUCCAGGUGUAGCGGUGAAAUGCGUAGAGAUCUGGAGGAAUAUCGAUGGCGAAGGCAGCCAUCUGGCCUAAUACUGACGCUGAGGUACGAAAGCAUGGGGAGCAAACAGG